UUAUAAGAGAUUAAAACAACUAGUAAUUGAUUUUGUGUGUUCUUUAUAAUAUUUUGUUAUUUAUUAUAUAUAAUAAGACCCAAACUUCAAGACACGAUUUUCCCAAUUUAAGGAUUUCACGACUCAAUUUUUCCCAAUUUUGAGGUUUUCACGACUCAAUUUUUCCCAAUUGGACCGGUACGGGUACUUUUCCCAAUUUGACAAGGAAAAUCGCUGGUGGAGUGUACCAGUUCAUGGAGGACAACAUUGAGUAAGAAAGGCACCAAUACUUGCUGGAGGAUUCGGUCUACCCCUGUAAACCCUGGCUCUUCACCCCAUUUUUACGGCCUGAUUGUGAACAUCAACUUAACUUCAAUAUUAUAAAUUUAUUAAUAACAGGAUUACAAGCUUGAGGGCCUGGGCACAGUCCUCUCAGUUGCCGCCUACAGCCAAGAAAACUGGGCAGCAGUAGAGCGUAUUUUCGAGUCUCACUCGCAAGAGUCAUUUGCUCUCAACUUAUUCAGACAGCUGCAGGGUGUCCAAGACAAAUCAAGGACACCCUACUUAAUCAAGGCAGUUGGGACAUCUGGAUUAAAAGUUGCCACAGAAAUUGCAAAAGAUAAAAGAAAGUGACUUAUCAACCCUUCAAGGACGUGCACGUUAUUGAACCCACGUUGAGAAAUUGUCCAACAACGACGAUAAUGCAUGGACAGUAACAAUAACUGUGGAAAAGAAAUGGAAUUGAAGUGCCAUUGCAGCCACAAGUUCUACAAAAGUUCACUGACAAAAUUAUUUAAACAGUGCAAAAAAAUGUCUAUGAUUAUGAAGAAUAAAUAGAUAGAUGAAAUUUGUUGGAUUCGGUGGAUUAUCAAUUUUAAGUCACAAGUGAUCAUGUGGGUGAUCCACUCGUGAAAAUACAUUCUUUCUAUGAUCACGAGUGAAUUAAAAAUGAUUUUCCACAGAAUAAAACAAAUUUUAUUUUCAUUUCAUUUUUUUUUUCAACGUUUAUUGAAAUCGUAAACUAGUUUUGCUAAAGAAUUUCGCUGGAAUAAUGACUGUUAUUUUUCACUGUUUGAAACAACGAAUUAUCAGUUUUAAUUCACUGAUAUUUAUGCCCCACUUCGAAGAAGAGGGGGUAUAUUGUUUUGCACAUGUUGGUCGGUCCGUCUGUCCAUCUGUAGGACCUUCCACUAAAUGGUUUCCGGAUGAUAACUCAAGAACACUUAUGGCCUAGGAUCAUGAAACUUCAUAUGCACAUUGAUCAUGACAGGUAGAUGACCCGUAUUGAUUUUGAGGUCAAAGGUCACGGUCUAGACAAUGUUGGGGGUGGGGGAAUAUGUCUCUGACCGCGGAACACUUGUUCUCUAUAAACUUCCCAAAAGCAUUAAAUAAAUAAUAUCAUAUUGGACUGACACACAUGUAGUGCAAGGCUUCCUAUGAAUUUGUUAACAAGUUGUGGCUGAAACUGCACUUCCAUAUGCAUGUGUAAAUUAAGAAACUCCAAAAAACAUGAUCAGGAUAGAAAUCCUUAGCAUAAACCAGCAUUAUUGAGUGCAUACUAGGCAGUGGAAAAUUCUCAUAUAAACUAAUCUGGUGAUAAUUGUUUAUGACAUAUGGGACAUAAUUGUAACACUCUCGUGUAGAGCUAAAAUAGUAGAAUGGGAUUUCCGCAUAAACAUGUGUUUGUUAUGUCCAGUCGUCGAAAUUCGCGCUAGUCCGACAGCAAAAAACUAGUAUUAUUCCUUUCAGGCUUGUAGAAAAUCCAAUAUUACAAGCCCGACGUACUUGUAAAAUUUAAAAAACAGAUAACGAGUUCCACUUUCAAUUUCAAUAUUUGUAAACAAAGUUUUGAGCCGCUUAUAUCAACUGCCGCUCAUUUCUUUAACACCUUGCGCACAAGUGCUGCGCAAUCAGCCGAUAAUUGGAUUACUGCGCAUAAAGAGCAUGGUUUUGUGUUCCCUGAUUACUAUCAUGGCGUUCGGGACACAGAGAGUAAUAAAGAAGAAAGCCAGGGGGGGGGGA
This is a long non-coding RNA of Dreissena polymorpha, 2001 nucleotides long. RefSeq lists it as uncharacterized. The record is from RefSeq and is a predicted model, not a curated record. NCBI's taxonomy places the organism in Eukaryota, Metazoa, Mollusca, Bivalvia, Myida, Dreissenidae. The transcript has 3 exons.